Molecule: ribosomal RNA, 394 nt
Filed under: uncultured bacterium
Lineage: Bacteria
Description: bacterial SSU rRNA
Rfam family: Bacterial small subunit ribosomal RNA
Source: RNAcentral
AUUGAACGCUGGCGGCAUGCUUUACACAUGCAAGUCGAACGGCAGCGCGGGGGCAACCCUGGCGGCGAGUGGCGAACGGGUGAGUAAUGCAUCGGAACGUAUCCUGUAAUGGGGGAUAACGUAGCGAAAGUUACGCUAAUACCGCAUACGCUCGAGAGAGGAAAGUGGGGAUCGCAAGACCUCACGUUAUAGGAGCGGCCGAUGUCCGAUUAGCUAGUUGGUGGGUAAAGGCCUACCAAGGCGACGAUCGGUAGCUGGUCUGAGAGGAUGAUCAGCCACACUGGGACUGAGACACGGCCCAGACUCCUACGGGAGGCAGCAGUGGGGAAUUUUGGACAAUGGGCGAAAGCCUGAUCCAGCCAUGCCGCGUGCGGGAAGAAGGGCCCUUCGGGUU